AGAGUUUGAUCAUGGCUCAGAACGUACGCUGGCGGCACGCCUAACACAUGCAAGUCGAACGCAGUAGCAAUACUGAGUGGCAGACGGGUGAGUAACAUGUGGGAAUCUGCCUUGUGGUUCAGGACAACAUUGGGAAACCGAUGCUAAUACUGGAUAAGCCCUUACGGGGAAAGUUUUAAUGCCAUAAGAUGAGCCCGCAUUUGAUUAGUUAGUUGGUGAGGUAAUGGCUCACCAAGACAAUGAUCAAUAGCUGAUCUGAGAGGAUGAUCAGCCACACUGGGACUGAGACACGGCCCAGACUCCUACGGGAGGCAGCAGUGGGGAAUCUUGCACAAUGGAGGAAACUCUGAUGCAGCGAUGCCGCGUGAGUGAAGAAGGCCUUUGGGUUGUAAAGCUCUUUCGUCGGGGAAGAAAAUGACUGUACCCGAAUAAGAAGGUCCGGCUAACUUCGUGCCAGCAGCCGCGGUAAUACGAAGGGACCUAGCGUAGUUCGGAAUUACUGGGCUUAAAGAGUUCGUAGGUGGUUGAAAAAGUUGGUGGUGAAAUCCCAGAGCUUAACUCUGGAACUGCCAUCAAAACUUUUCAGCUAGAGUAUGAUAGAGGAAAGCAGAAUUUCUAGUGUAGAGGUGAAAUUCGUAGAUAUUAGAAAGAAUACCAAUUGCGAAGGCAGCUUUCUGGAUCAUUACUGACACUGAGGAACGAAAGCAUGGGUAGCGAAGAGGAUUAGAUACCCUCGUAGUCCAUGCCGUAAACGAUGUGUGUUAGACGUUGGAAAUUUAUUUUCAGUGUCGCAGCGAAAGCGAUAAACACACCGCCUGGGGAGUACGACCGCAAGGUUAAAACUCAAAUGAAUUGACGGGGACCCGCACAAGUAGUGGAGCAUGUGGUUUAAUUCGAAGAUACGCGCAGAACCUUACCAACACUUGACAUGUUCGUCGCGACUCUAAGAGAUUAGAGUUUUCGGUUCGGCCGGACGAAACACAGGUGCUGCAUGGCUGUCGUCAGCUCGUGUCGUGAGAUGUUGGGUUAAGUCCCGUAACGAGCGCAACCCUUGUCCUUAGUUGCCAGCACAUAAUGGUGGGAACUCUAAGGAGACUGCCGGUGCAAACCGUGAGGAAGGUGGGGAUGACGUCAAAUCAUCACGGCCCUUACGUCCUGGGCCACACACGUGCUACAAUGGCAAGUACAAAGGGCAGCUACCAGGUGACUGGAUGCGAAUCUCUAAAGCUUGUCUCAGUUCGGAUUGGAGUCUGCAACUCGACUCCAUGAAGCUGGAAUCGCUAGUAAUCGGAUAUCAGCCAUGAUCCGGUGAAUACGUUCCCGGGCCUUGUACACACCGCCCGUCAAGCCAUGGAAGCUGGGGGUGCCUGAAGUCGGUAACCGCAAGGAGCUGCCUAGGGUAAAACUAGUGACUGGGGCUAAGUCAUAACAAGGUAACCGU
This 1441-nucleotide ribosomal RNA is filed under the name uncultured bacterium. RNAcentral's name for it is "partial 16S ribosomal RNA". It matches the Rfam family "Bacterial small subunit ribosomal RNA". The record is from RNAcentral.